AUCACAUUCUGAACUAUUAGCUUCUUCGUGGGAGCAAUCAUUCGCUAAAGAGUAUUCACCCUGUUCUAUACAGGUUUCUUGAGAGUCAUUUUUGUCGUCAGAGACAUUACAAUUAUUACUUCCAUGUAUUUCCAUAUUCUGCAGAGUCAAAUGCAAAUGACCUUCUGAAGACUCAGAUUUUGCUGAAGAAGCAUGACCUGAUUUAGACAGCCACUUAGACCAGUCAUUACGCCUCCGGAUCUUGUCACCAUGCACUUCCAGAAUAUUUGAGCUACGCAAAGCAUCCAAAAUCAAGGGUAUAUUGGUUGUCAUCUUUUUAACCCUAUUGAAAUCAGCAAUUCUGGG
Molecule: unclassified non-coding RNA, 345 nt
Filed under: Hevea brasiliensis (rubber tree)
Lineage: Eukaryota; Viridiplantae; Streptophyta; Magnoliopsida; Malpighiales; Euphorbiaceae
Source: RNAcentral